Dermochelys coriacea (leatherback sea turtle) is the source of this 108-nucleotide long non-coding RNA. RefSeq lists it as uncharacterized. The record is from RefSeq and is a predicted model, not a curated record. The transcript has 3 exons. Lineage: Eukaryota; Metazoa; Chordata; Testudines; Dermochelyidae.
ACUUGGUCCCUGCAGCUCCAGAGGCAAUCCUGGCACUUAUAGACCGGUAAGCAUAAUUUCAGUACCAGGCACAUUGGUUGAUACUAUAGUAAAGACCAGAAUUAUCAG